GAUGAACGCUAGCGAUAGGCCUAACACAUGCAAGUCGAGGGGCAUCACAUGAAGUAGCAAUACGGAUGGUGGCGACCGGCGCACGGGUGAGUAACACGUAUGCAACCUGCCUUCAACAAGGGGAUAACCCGUUGAAAGACGGACUAAUACCCUAUAACACAGGGGUCCCGCAUGGGAAUAUUUGUUAAAGGACAACCGGUUGAAGAUGGGCAUGCGUUCCAUUAGCUAGUUGGCGGGGUAACGGCCCACCAAGGCAACGAUGGAUAGGGGAACUGAGAGGUUUAUCCCCCACACUGGUACUGAGACACGGACCAGACUCCUACGGGAGGCAGCAGUGAGGAAUAUUGGUCAAUGGACGCAAGUCUGAACCAGCCACGUCGCGUGAAGGAAGACGGCCCUACGGGUUGUAAACUUCUUUUAACGGGAAUAAAGUGCCCCACGCGUGGGGUUUUGCAUGUACCGUAUGAAU
RNAcentral lists this ribosomal RNA (469 nucleotides) under uncultured bacterium. RNAcentral's name for it is "bacterial SSU rRNA". It matches the Rfam family "Bacterial small subunit ribosomal RNA", at positions 28 to 487 of the family's 1533-position model. The record is from RNAcentral.